CGCCGCAUUUAGAUGCCGGUAUGCUGCGUGCGUUUACGCGCUUAAGGGGGUACCGUAGAGGUUCAUUGUGAAGCAGGUGGAAACACCGUCGCACUCGGCGACAUUUGCAUUACCGAGAUCCCCGCAUUGGUACGUCGGGCCCUUGCAACGUUCGAAAUCCUUUGCAACCGGACGAGACCGUUGCUCUUCUCCGUCUCGCAGCGUGGUGGAUGUGGUAUACUUCGACCCCUCCCCCUUUCCACGAAAGUGGUCGACCCUUAUAUAUACCUUGUUUGUAACUGAUAGUGUACACAGUACCGUGAGGGAACAAUUGAAACUGGGCUGGAACUCUCCUAUGCAACUUUCUCUCUCAAGAGCACACGAUUGCAAUACAUUAAUCCAGUGGAUAUUUAUGUACAGCACUCUACCCGCGUUUUUUAAGACUUUUAAUAUA
This 433-nucleotide ribosomal RNA is filed under the name Edaphochlamys debaryana. RNAcentral describes it as "large subunit ribosomal RNA". Lineage: Eukaryota; Viridiplantae; Chlorophyta; Chlorophyceae; Chlamydomonadales. The record is from RNAcentral.